Molecule: ribosomal RNA, 472 nt
Filed under: uncultured bacterium
Lineage: Bacteria
Description: SSU rRNA
Rfam family: Bacterial small subunit ribosomal RNA
Source: RNAcentral
AGAUUGAACGCUGGCGGCGUGCUUAACACAUGCAAGUCGAGCGGUAACGCGGGAGCAAUCCUGGCGACGAGCGGCGAACGGGUGAGUAAUGCUUGGGAAUCUGCCCAUUAGUGGGGAACAACCAGCCGAAAGGUUGGCUAAUACCGCAUACGCCCUACGGGGGAAAGCGGGGGCUCGUAAGACCUCGCGCUAAUGGAUGAGCCCAAGUCGGAUUAGCUUGUUGGUAGGGUAACGGCCUACCAAGGCGACAAUCCGUAGCUGGUCUGAGAGGACGACCAGCCACACUGGGACUGAGACACGGCCCAGACUCCUACGGGAGGCAGCAGUGGGGGAAUAUUGGACAAUGGGCGCAAGCCUGAUCCAGCCAUGCCGCGUGAGUGAUGAAGGCCCUAGGGUUGUAAAGCUCUUUUGUGCGGGAAGAUAAUGACGGUACCGCAAGAAUAAGCCCGGCUAACUUCGUGCCAGCAGCCGC